GGGAGCUCUCCCAUAUGGUCGACCUGCAGGCGGCCGCGAAUUCACUAGUGAUUCGUAUUACCGCGGCUGCUGGCACAGAGUUAGCCGGGGCUUCUUCUUCCGGUACCGUCAUUAUCUUCCCGAUCGAAAGGAGUUUACAUCCCAAAGGACUUCAUCCUCCACGCGGCAUUGCUGCGUCAGGGUUUCCCCCAUUGCGCAAAAUUCCCCACUGCUGCCUCCCGUAGGAGUCUGGACCGUGUUUCAGUUCCAGUGUGGCCGUGCGCCCUCUCAGGCCGGCUAUUGAUCAUUGCCUUGGUGGGCCAUUACCCCGCCAACUAGCUAAUCAACCGCGACCCCCUCUUCAAGCUGCUUUCGCAUUUGAUCUCUCGAUAUUAUGCGGUCUUAGCCCCGGUUUCCCGGAGUUAUUCCCCACUCGAAGGUAGGUUAGUCACGUGUUACUCACCCGUGCGCCACUGUACUCAUGGAUUGCUCCACUUUCUCGUUCGACUUGCAUGUGUUAGGCAUGCCGCCAGCGUUGAUUCUGAGCCAUGAUCAAACUCUAAUCGAAUUCCCGCGGCCGCCAUGGCGGCCGGGAGCAUGCGACGU
Molecule: ribosomal RNA, 585 nt
Filed under: uncultured Acidobacteriota bacterium
Lineage: Bacteria; Pseudomonadati; Acidobacteriota
Description: uncultured Acidobacteria bacterium partial 16S ribosomal RNA
Source: RNAcentral